GUAGGUGGCGAGCGUUGUCCGGAUUUACUGGGCGUAAAGAGCGCGCAGGCGGUCGUGCAAGUCGCGUGUGAAAGCCCCCGGCUCAACUGGGGAGGGUCACGCGAUACUGCUCGACUUGAAGGCAGGAGAGGGAAGCGGAAUUCCCGGUGUAGUGGUGAAAUGCGUAGAUAUCGGGAGGAACACCAGUGGCGAAGGCGGCUUCCUGGCCUGUUCUUGACGCUGAGGCGCGAAAGCUAGGGGAGCAAACGGGAUUAGAUACCCCGGUAGUCCUAGCCGUAAACGAUGGACACUAGGUGUUGGUGGUAUCAACCCCGCCAGUGCCGAAGCUAACGCAUUAAGUGUCCCGCCUGGGGAGUACGGCCGCAAGGCUA
RNAcentral lists this ribosomal RNA (371 nucleotides) under uncultured bacterium. Its description in RNAcentral is "bacterial SSU rRNA". It matches the Rfam family "Bacterial small subunit ribosomal RNA", at positions 527 to 896 of the family's 1533-position model. The record is from RNAcentral.